GGUCUCGUGGUCUAAAGGCUAUGAUUUCUCGUUUACAGUGGACUCUUACUUCUGUAAGUCCCGAGAAGGUUCCGUGUUCGAUCCACGGCGUGACCA
Molecule: transfer RNA, 96 nt
Filed under: Annulohypoxylon truncatum
Lineage: Eukaryota; Fungi; Ascomycota; Sordariomycetes; Xylariales; Hypoxylaceae
Description: tRNA-Val
Source: RNAcentral